RNAcentral lists this ribosomal RNA (256 nucleotides) under Polycera alabe. RNAcentral describes it as "partial 16S ribosomal RNA". Lineage: Eukaryota; Metazoa; Mollusca; Gastropoda; Nudibranchia; Polyceridae. The record is from RNAcentral.
UAAAGACGAGAAGACCCUUAGAGUUUUUCUAAAAUUAAGACUAUUUAAUUGUUCUUAUAACAGUUUAGUUGGGGCAACAUAGGAGCAAUAAAAAAUAUAAUCUCCUAAAAAUAAUUAAUCGAUUAUUUUAGUAAUGAAUAAACUACCUUAGGGAUAACAGCAUAAUUUUAUUAUUAAGUUUGUGACCUCGAUGUUGGACUGGGAAACCUAAAGGUUAGCCACCUUUAGAGUUAGUUCUGUUCGAACUAUUAUUCCC